Molecule: ribosomal RNA, 301 nt
Filed under: uncultured bacterium
Lineage: Bacteria
Description: partial 16S ribosomal RNA
Rfam family: Bacterial small subunit ribosomal RNA
Source: RNAcentral
CAGCCGCCACGGGAAUACGUAGGGUGCAAGCGUUAAUCGGAAUUACUGGGCGUAAAGCGUGCGCAGGCGGUUAUAUAAGUCAGAUGUGAAAUCCCCGGGCUCAACCUGGGAACUGCAUUUGAGACUGUAUGGCUAGAGUGUGUCAGAGGGGGGUAGAAUUCCACGUGUAGCAGUGAAAUGCGUAGAUAUGUGGAGGAAUACCGAUGGCGAAGGCAGCCCCCUGGGAUAACACUGACGCUCAUGCACGAAAGCGUGGGGAGCAAACAGGAUUAGAUACCCGGGUAGUCCCUGUCUCUUAUAC